GGCUCAGGAUGAACGCUAGCGGCAGGCCUAACACAUGCAAGUCGAGGGGCAGCACGGGUAGCAAUACUUGGUGGCGACCGGCGCACGGGUGAGUAACGCGUAUGCAACCUUCCUUUAACUGGGACAUAGCCCGUCGAAAGACGGAUUAAUUUCCCAUAACACUAUGAACUGGCAUCAGUCUAUAGUUAAAGCUCCGGCGGUUAGAGAUGGGCAUGCGUGUCAUUAGCUAGUUGGUGAGGUAAUGGCUCACCAAGGCUACGAUGACUAGGGGGUCUGAGAGGAUGAUCCCCCACACUGGAACUGAGACACGGUCCAGACUCCUACGGGAGGCAGCAGUGAGGAAUAUUGGUCAAUGGGGGCAACCCUGAACCAGCCAUGCCGCGUGAAGGAUGACUGCCCUAUGGGUUGUAAACUUCUUUUGUUAGGGACGAAACUUGGUUACGUGUAGCCAACUGACGGUACCUAAUGAAUAAGCAACGGCUAACUCCGUGCCAGCAGCCGCGGUAAUACGGAGGUUGCAAGCGUUAUCCGGAUUUAUUGGGUUUAAAGGGUGCGUAGGCGGGAUAAUAAGUCAGUGGUGAAAACCUGCAGCUUAACUGUAGAACUGCCAUUGAUACUGUUAUUCUUGAGUAUAGUUGAGGUGGGCGGAAUGUGUAAUGUAGCGGUGAAAUGCUUAGAUAUUACACAGAACACCAAUUGCGUAGGCAGCUCACUAAACUACAACUGACGCUGAGGCACGAAAGCGUGGGGAGCAAACAGGAUUAGAUACCCUGGUAGUCCACGCCGUAAACGAUGAUUACUCGAUGUGUGCGAUACACAGUACGCGUCUAAGCGAAAGCAGUAAGUAAUCCACCUGGGGAGUACGUCGGCAACGA
Molecule: ribosomal RNA, 875 nt
Filed under: uncultured bacterium
Lineage: Bacteria
Description: bacterial SSU rRNA
Rfam family: Bacterial small subunit ribosomal RNA
Source: RNAcentral